UGAGGAAUAUUGGGCAAUGCCCGCAAGGGUGACCCAGCAACGCCGCGUGGAGGAUGAAUGUCGUAAGAUUGUAAACUCCUGUUAGAGGGGAAGAAUAGUACCGGUUGGACCGGUAUAUGACUGUACCCUCAGAGAAAGCCCCGGCUAACUACGUGCCAGCAGCCGCGGUAAUACGUAGGGGGCAAGCGUUGUCCGGAUUUACUGGGUGUAAAGGGCGCGCAGGCGGGAUAAAAAGUCAGUGGUGAAAUCCUACAGCUUAACUGUAGAACUGCCAUUGAUACUGUAUAUCUUGAAUUGAGUGGGAGUGGGCGGAAUAUGACAGGUAGCGGUGAAAUGCAUAGAUAUGUCAUAGAACACCGAAAGCGAAGGCAGCUCACUAUACUUAAAUUGACGCGCAUGCACGAAAGCGUGGGGAGCAAACA
RNAcentral lists this ribosomal RNA (422 nucleotides) under uncultured bacterium. RNAcentral's name for it is "bacterial SSU rRNA". It matches the Rfam family "Bacterial small subunit ribosomal RNA", at positions 355 to 774 of the family's 1533-position model. The record is from RNAcentral.